CCUACGGGUGGCAGCAGUGAGGAAUAUUGGUCAAUGGGCGCGAGCCUGAACCAGCCAAGUCGCGUGAGGGAAGACGGUCCUAUGGAUUGUAAACCUCUUUUGUCGGGGAGCAAAAGACGCCACGCGUGGCGUUCCGAGAGUACCCGAAGAAAAAGCAUCGGCUAACUCCGUGCCAGCAGCCGCGGUAAUACGGGGGAUGCGAGCGUUAUCCGGAUUUAUUGGGUUUAACGGGUGCGCAGGCGGAAGAUCAAGUCAGCGGUAAAAUUGAGAGGCUCAACCUCUUCGAGCCGUUGAAACUGGUUGUCUUGAGUGAGUGAGAAGUAUGCGGAAGGCGUGGUGUAGCGGUGAAAUGCAUAGAUAUCACGCAGAACUCCGAUUGCGAAGGCAGCAUACCGGCGCUCAACUGACGCUCAUGCACGAAAGUGUGGGUAUCGAACAGGAUUAGAUACCCGAGUAGUC
Molecule: ribosomal RNA, 459 nt
Filed under: uncultured bacterium
Lineage: Bacteria
Description: partial 16S ribosomal RNA
Rfam family: Bacterial small subunit ribosomal RNA
Source: RNAcentral